RNAcentral lists this ribosomal RNA (468 nucleotides) under uncultured bacterium. Its description in RNAcentral is "partial 16S ribosomal RNA". It matches the Rfam family "Bacterial small subunit ribosomal RNA", at positions 28 to 507 of the family's 1533-position model. The record is from RNAcentral.
GACGAACGCUGGCGGCGUGCUUAACACAUGCAAGUCGAACGGAAAGGCCCUGCUUUUUUGGGUUGCUCGAGUGGCGAACGGGUGAUUAACACGUGAUUAACCUGCCCUUGACUUUGGGUUAACUUCAGGAAACUGGGGCUAAUACCGGAUAGGAGCUCCUGCUGCAUGGUGAGGUUUGGAAAGUUUCGGCGGUUGGGGAUGGACUCGCGGCUUAUCAGCUUGUUGGUGGGGUAGUGGCUUACCAAGGCUUUGACGGGUAGCCGGCCUGAGAGGGUGACCGGCCACAUUGGGACUGAGAUACGGCCCAGACUCCUACGGGAGGCAGCAGUGGGGAAUAUUGCACAAUGGGCGGAAGCCUGAUGCAGCAACGCCGCGUGCGGGAUGACGGCCUUCGGGUUGUAAACCGCUUUCGCCUGUGACGAAGCGUGAGUGACGGUAAUGGGUAAAGAAGCACCGGCUAACUACGUG